GGAUGCGAUCAUACCAGCACUAAAGCACCGGAUCCCAUCAGAACUCCGAAGUUAAGCAUGCUUGGGCGAGAGUAGUACUAGGAUGGGUGACCUGCUGGGAAGUCCUCGUGUUGCAUUCC
This 119-nucleotide ribosomal RNA is filed under the name Triticum aestivum (bread wheat). Lineage: Eukaryota; Viridiplantae; Streptophyta; Magnoliopsida; Poales; Poaceae. The record is from RNAcentral.